ACGGUAACGCGGGGCAACCUGGCGACGAGUGGCGAACGGGUGAGUAAUACAUCGGAACGUGCCCAGUAAUGGGGGAUAGCCCGGCGAAAGCCGGAUUAAUACCGCAUACGACCUACGGGUGAAAGAGGGGGAUCGCAAGACCUCUCGUUAUUGGAGCGGCCGAUGGCAGAUUAGCUAGUUGGUGGGGUAAAAGCCUACCAAGGCGACGAUCUGUAGCUGGUCUGAGAGGACGACCAGCCACACUGGGACUGAGACACGGCCCAGACUCCUACGGGAGGCAGCAGUGGGGAAUUUUGGACAAUGGACGCAAGUCUGAUCCAGCAAUGCCGCGUGCGGGAAGAAGGCCUUCGGGUUGUAAACCGCUUUUGUCAGGGAAGAAAUCUUCUGGGUUAAUACCUCGGGAGGAUGACGGUACCUGAAGAAUAAGCACCGGCUAACUACGUGCCAGCAGCCGCGGUAAU
This 461-nucleotide ribosomal RNA is filed under the name uncultured bacterium. Its description in RNAcentral is "bacterial SSU rRNA". It matches the Rfam family "Bacterial small subunit ribosomal RNA", at positions 66 to 524 of the family's 1533-position model. The record is from RNAcentral.